Molecule: ribosomal RNA, 497 nt
Filed under: uncultured bacterium
Lineage: Bacteria
Description: partial 16S ribosomal RNA
Rfam family: Bacterial small subunit ribosomal RNA
Source: RNAcentral
GACGAACGCUGGCGGCGUGCCUAAUACAUGCAAGUUGAGCGCUGAAGGUUGGUACUUGUACCAACUGGAUGAGCAGCGAACGGGUGAGUAACGCGUGGGGAAUCUGCCUUUGAUCGGGGGACAACAUUUGGAAACGAAUGCUAAUACCGCAUAAAAACUUUAAACACAAGUUUUAAGUUUGAAAGAUGCAAUUGCAUCACUCAAAGAUGAUCCCGCGUUGUAUUAGCUAGUUGGUGAGGUAAAGGCUCACCAAGGCGAUGAUACAUAGCCGACCUGAGAGGGUGAUCGGCCACAAUGGGACUGAGACACGGCCCAAACUUCUACGGGAGGCAGCAGUAGGGAAUCUUCGGACAUGGACGAAAGUCUGAACGCGCAACGCCGCGUGAGUGAAGAAGGUUUUCGGAUCGUAAAACUCUGUUGGUAGAGAAGAACGUUGGUGAGAGUGGAAAGCUCAUCAAGUGACGGUAACUACACAGAAAGGGACGGCUAACUACGUG